Molecule: long non-coding RNA, 1442 nt
Filed under: Phasianus colchicus (ring-necked pheasant)
Lineage: Eukaryota; Metazoa; Chordata; Aves; Galliformes; Phasianidae
Description: lncRNA (ENSPCLG00000008775.1)
Source: RNAcentral
CUGUCAUGCAAACAAGUAUGAAGUUGCGGUCAAACCUUUCGUCUUGUACUGCAGAACCACAUGCUUUUGUUCCCCUUUUGUUACUUUUAAAUGUAAACCUACAUUUGACUUCAGCUUUGUAUCAUAAAUCUGUUUAAUUUAAGGGUUUCUGUAUAUGUACAAAUAUAUAUAAGCUGGCAUCUUUGUAAUAUUUAAAUGUGUAUUUCGUAUUAUGUUACUCUGCAGUCUCGGUGUCCUCAGUAGACCUUUAAAAUUUGAAAUGUUUUACAGGCUUACCUUUUGCUUUUUUGUGACAAAUUACAUCACUCACAUGAAGGUGUUCAAAAGACCUCUUCCUUCCAUAUUCCCCUUGCAAGAGAAACUUCAUCACGCUGUCAGAAUGCUGUCUGAAAAGCAAGGGAAGAAAGAGAUACUGGGUGUUUGCUAUACCUAUGCAGUGCUAUGGAAAAUGAGUUGUGGAUUCCUGUGAAACACUGACUGUCAAAUAUACUUCGUUUGCAUUACCUCAGGUGCAAAAUGAGAUGAUGAGAGUCUGCUUUUACAAUAAUUAAACAUCUAGCACUGAAGUGUGAACAUGGAAGGCUGACGAUAGUCUUCCAUGGCAGUGUUUGGAUUGCUUACAUGUCUAUUGUCUACAUAGUCAGUUUACAACUGGAAAUACAAUUUUAAAUUGUUAUUCCAGACUCACUUAUCUGCAGAAAAUGCCCCUCAGAUCUUGCAUCAGUGAACAGGAAAACGUAUUUGAUACAAGCACCCUAUUUUCCCUGUAGCUAUAUACAGUAUUUCAUGUCUUAUUAACAUAAUAUAUCCACGGUGAAGUUUAUAGGCCUUGACAGAUAGCACCUCGGGUGAGAAAAAGGAUGACAGAGAAAAUUUACUUUUACAGCGUCAGUCUUUCUGGAACUAUUCUUGGACAGCUUGACACCAAAGGCUAUAAACGUAGACUGGAAUCUGAAACUUCUUCUGCAGUGACCUUGUUUUAGAAAACACUAUUCUUAUCUCCUCAUGCUUAUUUCUCUCUUUUGGCAGACGCUCCUUGUAGUAUGUUCCUUACCAUGUGCUCCUCUGUUUUUUGAGCAAUGCCUUCGUACCCAUUGUUUGUUUACUAUCUGCUUUUAUUGAAGUCAUGCAGUCUAAAGGCCUGCUUUAUGCAAGACCAAAAAUUAUGUUUGUAAGCCAUGUGGCUUGUUGUAAGCUUAUGUCCUGUUUCUUUUGCAUUUCUUUGGCACAAAGCUUCUUCAGGAGGAGGGUUGGGCCUAUGCUGAGCACCACAUGAAAUUAUACUUUAGUGGCAGUAGUUUUGUACAUUAAAAUUUAAAAUUGGCCAUUCUUUAUAUUAGUAAAAAUGGUACUGCUGUCUAAAUAGCAGAGCAGCCAUAUUCAAGCUUAAGGCAAAGGAUUGAAAAUAUGGACACAGCCAAAAACAAUCCUUUGGAAGGAAG